CCUACGGGUGGCAGCAGUGGGGAAUAUUGCACAAUGGGCGCAAGCCUGAUGCAGCCAUGCCGCGUGUGUGAAGAAGGCCUUCGGGUUGUAAAGCACUUUCAGCGGGGAGGAAGGCGGUGAGGUUAAUAACCUCAUCGAUUGACGUUACCCGCAGAAGAAGCACCGGCUAACUCCGUGCCAGCAGCCGCGGUAAUACGGAGGGUGCAAGCGUUAAUCGGAAUUACUGGGCGUAAAGCGCACGCAGGCGGUCUGGUCAAGUCGGAUGUGAAAUCCCCGGGCUCAACCUGGGAACUGCAUUCGAAACUGGCAGGCUAGAGUCUUGUAGAGGGGGGUAGAAUUCCAGGUGUAGCGGUGAAAUGCGUAGAGAUCUGGAGGAAUACCGGUGGCGAAGGCGGCCCCCUGGACAAAGACUGACGCUCAGGUGCGAAAGCGUGGGGAGCAAACAGGAUUAGAUACCCGUGUAGUC
Molecule: ribosomal RNA, 466 nt
Filed under: uncultured Klebsiella sp.
Lineage: Bacteria; Pseudomonadati; Pseudomonadota; Gammaproteobacteria; Enterobacterales; Enterobacteriaceae
Description: bacterial SSU rRNA
Rfam family: Bacterial small subunit ribosomal RNA
Source: RNAcentral